CCUACGGGAGGCUGCAGUGAGGAAUAUUGGUCAAUGGGCGGAAGCCUGAACCAGCCAAGUCGCGUGAGGGAUUAAGGCCCUGCGGGUCGUAAACCUCUUUUGCCGGGGAGCAGUGGUCCGGACGCGUCCGGACCGGGAGAGUACCCGGAGAAAAAGCAUCGGCUAACUCCGUGCCAGCAGCCGCGGUAAUACGGAGGAUGCGAGCGUUAUCCGGAUUCAUUGGGCUUAAAGGGAGCGUAGGCGGGCGUUCAAGUCAGCUGUAAAAUCGCGCGGCUCAACCGCGCCCCGCAGUUGAAACUGGACGCCUUGAGUUCACAACAGGCAGGCGGAAUUCGUGGUGUAGCGGUGAAAUGCAUAGAUAUCACGAGGAACCCCGAUUGCGAAGGUAGCCUGCCGGGGUGCGACUGACGCUGAGGCUCGAAGGUGCGGGUAUCAAACAGGAUUAGAUACCCUGGUAGUC
RNAcentral lists this ribosomal RNA (460 nucleotides) under uncultured bacterium. RNAcentral describes it as "partial 16S ribosomal RNA". It matches the Rfam family "Bacterial small subunit ribosomal RNA", at positions 338 to 795 of the family's 1533-position model. The record is from RNAcentral.